This 3837-nucleotide long non-coding RNA is filed under the name Sus scrofa (pig). Its description in RNAcentral is "lncRNA (ENSSSCG00015045625.1)". Lineage: Eukaryota; Metazoa; Chordata; Mammalia; Artiodactyla; Suidae. The record is from RNAcentral.
AUUUCUCCUUAAUUGCGUCUGGAUUUUAAGUCAUGGUUAGGAUGGAUAUAGUUGCUGUUCUCACAGGGCUAGUUUGGCAGGGGCUCUUGUGUUGUUGAUUUAGCUUUAUCAUCAGCUUGACUUGACUGUGAUGUGGACCUUUCCUAUUUUUUUUUAAAUUAGAGUAUAGUUGAUUUAAAGUGUUGUGUCAAUUUCUGCUGUACAGUAUAGCCACCCAGUAAGACACCCAUCUAUGUACAUUCUUUUUCUCAUAUUAUUUUCCAUCCUGGUCUAUCCCAAGAGACUGGAUAUAGUUCCCUGUGCUGUACAGUAGGACCUCAUUGCUUUCCAUUCUAAAUCAUACUUCUUUCUUGUUUUGCCUCCAGUAAAAUGGUCUUUUGAAGAAUUUUUCUGGUUGAACAUUCUAUUUGCAGGUUUCUUUCUCUGAUUGAGUAACUGAGAUGUAAUUAAUAAUUUAGAGAGCGGCAGAAAGACAAACAUGGUGAUGCAGGUUAUGUCUCAAGAUGGCAAAGUUGAUGAGCUACAUGUUUAGAAUUUUUUAUUUAUCACAUACAGUUUGAGAAUAAAAGCCUCUUUUGCUUGAAUGUUCUGUAACUGUGUAAAUUGUCAAAAGUGCCUUUGUGGUUACCACCUAUGGAAUCAAAGCCUAGUGGAAUGCUGUACCACUGUUUGAUGGAUUGGGUACCUUCCUCAUAGAUAGCUGAGUAAUUAGGAUAACUAAGAUAUUGACAUAGCCCCUGUCUUCUCAUUGGUAAACGUCUAACAUUCAGGGCUCCGAAAUCUGCGCAGUCCCAUAUGACACAAUUUUUCUAAAACCUCUGGGACUGCACUGCGGUGGAAGCUGUAAAAAUAUGGAAACUGCAUGAAGGCUUUUCAGUGUAGUGUAGCAAAGUGGCUAAGUGGGGGGGACUCUGGAGUCAGACAGCUUGGGUUACAAUCCAGGCCCAACUACCUCUCUCAGUUUCCUCACCUCUAAAGCAGGCAUAAUAAUUUUGCUUAUCCUUAGUGUUGUAAUGGGAGUUAAAUGAGUUAAUAAAUAUAAAACAUUUAAAACAGUGCCUGGCAUAUAUAGGAUAAGGGCUUUAAAAAGGUUUUUCCGUUGCUGUUAUUACUAUUCCUAUGGUCAGAACUGAACCCACAAGAAGGCCAGCAAAAUAGGAGUGAAUGAAAGCCUAGGGUUAGGAGUUGAAACACUGCUAGUGAGGAGGAGAAAAUGGCUGGGGAGGAGAGAAGCGCAGGGGAAAGGUGUCCGAUUUGAUAACUUUGUGACGAACUGCUGUUUUUUUCUACAUGACACUUACUUUCAUUUUUAACUUCAUCCUUUUGUCUCCCACAUCCACCAAGUUGCCAAUUUUGUCACUUUUUUUGUUUCAUCUGAUACAUUUGUUUCUCUUUGUCGAGUCCCACUGCAGCUGUUCUAAUCCAGGUUUUCAUCGCUUCUGUCCUUGAUUACAUCACCGGCUUCUGAAGUGGUUUUCUUGGCUCUGCUCUGUCACUUAAGAUCUAUUCUGUUUACUGCUGCACGAUGACUGUUCUUGAAAAAGUACUGUCAUCACUUUAUCAACAUGCUCAAGCACCUGCCGUGGAUUUCUUUUGCUGGUGGAUUAAGUCUUUUCAGCAGCUUUGCCCUACUCUGUCCAACCUCAUGCUCCCUACCGUGGUUGAGGGCGGUGGAGUGGAAGGAUUAUUGCAAUCUCCUCAUAAAUAAUAUGUGGCCUUGGGCAAGACACUCAGCCUUUCUGUGCCUCAUUUUGCUACCCUAUAAAAUUUGGAUGAUAAUAAUAGUAAACACUAAAAAAUAUAUAUAUGUGUAUAUAUAUGCACACACAUAUAUAUAGUCAUUAUAUAUAGUUAUUAUAUAUAUACCUAGUCAUAAUCAUCAUCCAUGAUCCAGUGAAAAAAUGUAUUAGCAUUUCCUUAAAAACCCCCUUUGAUUAUAAGCAAGCCUUUCUCUUAGAUCUUGGCCAGGACACUAUGCUUUAUCCCAUUUGAAGACCUUUGCUGCUUAUUCAAAUCAUUCUACCUCAACCCCAAGCUCCUCUCCUUCAUGAAGCUUCUUACCAUUAGUCUAGUCAUGGCUGUCUCUUUCUUUUCAUUUCCUGUGAAUACAACCUAGUAUUUUAUAGUAUGAUAUAAUCAUUAUUAUUGCUCUCGAUGAGAUGACAUCCAAGCUCCUUUGGAGAAGGGAGAGUGCCUUACUCUCUUGCUGUACCUGGUAGCUACUUACUAGUUUCUGAAUGUUUUCUUAUCACCUCAGUGCCUUUUCCCACUUUCUUUUGCCUUUAUUUUGGUCUCUAAACUCUUCUUCCAUAUGUUUUGGUAUUAUGCAGUUUCAAAAUUUAAAUAAAGGCUAGUUGAAGACAACUAAUUUAAUCUUGCUUUAAAGUCAGUUUUAAUACUUUCACAUAAUUGACAAUGUUGUAUAAGAACAAUAAGAAGAUGUUCCUGCUGUGGUGAAGUGGGUUAAGAAUCCUACUGCAGUGGCUCAGGUCACUGUGGAGGUGGGGGUUAAAGGAUGCCGCAUUGCUGCAGUUGCGUUGCAGUGUGUAGCAGAUUCAAACCCUGGCCCAAGAACUUCUAUAUGCUGAGGGUGUGGCGAUUGGAAAAAGAAAAGAAUAAGAAAUCUAAGAUUCUGCAUCAACAUUUUUAGAUGUAUUUUAGAAUAUAUGUAUUGAUACAUCUAUAUCUGUCUAUAUCUUUAUUUAUAUUAAGAAAACAUUUUGUUCCUCACUUUUUCUUCUGUAGGUCUUGUCUCUAUCCAGGCUAGACUCUGCUCUUACUUUUUUCUUUUCUUUUUACAGCUGCACCUGUGGUGCAUGAAGGUUCUCACGCUAGGGCUCGAAUUAGAGCUGCAGCUGAGGCCUCCAGGUUCACAGCCAUAGCAACACCAGAUCCAGGUCGAAACUGCGACCUACACGGCAGGUUGCGGCAAUGCCGGAUCCUUAACCCACUGAGCAUCUUCAAGGAGACUCUGUCAGGUUCUUAAGCUCCUGAGCCACAAAGAAAACUCCUGCUCUUUUGAGGGUGCCUCCUGCUUGGGUUUCUGGAGGUUCUUAACUCUUUGUCAAGAUUGUCCUCAGCUUCAGACCAGUCAUCAAAAUAACAAAUCAGAGUAAUUAGCCACCUUGCAUAAUCACAGUGUUAAUCUUGUAUAAUACUGGCUGUUCCAGACAGAGCCUACACCCAUUCUGGAGAGUAACUGCUUUUUAUCAGUUUUUACUCUUGAGAUUUAAACACAUGGUGUAUGUCCGAAUUAAUUUAAUAGUAACCUAUGAUGGGAAAGUGUUCUGUUGUUUUGGGAUUUUGCAACGUCAAUAAUUCAAAAGUUAUUAAACUUUUUAUUUAUUUAUAUUUUUUUGUUUUUAUUUUUUGCUUUUUAGGGCUGCACCCGCGGCAUGUGGAAAUUCCCAGGCUAGGGGUCGAAUCGAGCUAUAGCUGCUGGCCUACACCACAGCCACAGCAACGUGGGAUCCAAGCCGUAUCUGUGACCUACACCACAGCUCACAGCAACGCUGGAUCCUUUACCCACUGCUUGAGGCCAGGGAUCGUACCUGCAACCUCGUGGUUCCUAGACGCAUUCAUUUCCGCUGCACCACAGUGGGAACUCCAAAUGUUAUUAAACUUUUUGAUAUCUCUCACAAUGUAGGGGUAAACUUGUACCCCUACAUUGCCGAUCGCUUCUUGCAUUUGUGAAAGUUGAGCACAGUAAUUACUUUCAGUUUCUGUCAAACUAAAUUCAAAGGAUUGCUUCUGAAGGAAUGAAAUAAAAGUAAAAAGGUGAUUCAUUAAAAAUUGCUGUGUAGAAAAAUAGAGCCGAAUGGCAUAAUCUAAACCACG